UCAUCUUCUGUGUUUUCAUGUAGAAACAAGACAAACCAGCAUGUGUUAAUUAGAAAACAUGUCUGAGAAAGAUAAGAUAAUGUGAACAACAAAAAAGUGACAUUUACUGAGACCAUCAUUCAUCUCUCUGCUCCUCCCUCUCUCCUGCCAUGUAACUUAUGAGUGAGGAAAAUCUGAGAAAAGGUGUAUCAUUGCUCUCCAAACAUAUGGGGGAUAAAGGAAGAUACGAAAAACAUCAAAAGGAAAGCUACUUAAAGAAGAACUCAAAAUCAGGCAUACCCAGCUGCUCUUACAAGUACUUCUGGGACAUUUCCAAAGCAGCUGCGGGAGGUAGAUCUGUGUCCUGUCUGUGCAGUUCUACUUUUGUUUCUAUUACA
Molecule: long non-coding RNA, 377 nt
Organism: Cygnus olor (mute swan)
Lineage: Eukaryota; Metazoa; Chordata; Aves; Anseriformes; Anatidae
Exons: 3
Source: RefSeq, a predicted model, not a curated record